AUGAUUGUGUGACCGCAAAACCAUCGAUAAAUUCUACUCAGCAGCUCUGAGAAAUAUACUUUUUAUACCAAUUAAUUAUUCAAAAUAUACCAAACAUAUUACGAGUGGGGAAACAAAUUUAUAACUCCCUCUUUCGAGCGUACUAAUGCCUAAUCUAAAAUACAAAUUAUACGUAGGAUUCACGACUUUCAAACCGUCGGUCAAAUGCUCGUUGUCUCUGGGCUUUUUAUUGGCCGCCUUCUUGCGCUUGGAAACGAAAAGUAUUUCGGCAGCUCUGUUUUUCAGGACCUUUAAAAACUGGAUGAAACUUUACUUGAUGCCACAUGGUCACCUUCGGAUUGUUGAAUAAAAUACAACUAACAUUCUGAACGGAUUGGCCAAUGUCCAGUUGGUUGGUAUUGAUGUGGAUGUCCAUCGCCGUCCUCGUGGAGUGUGCAUAUGAAUUUCACUAUCUUGACCAGCACUUUAAAGCGAUACUGGGAACUGCCAUAUUUGGUCUUGUACCCGGGAAUGGGUUAAGAGAAGUCCACAUGGCUUAGGCCCCAUCCCGAGCCAGGAUAUGCUCUUGAGGAACUCACGUUGAGGCAUCCAGCUUAAGAGCAGUCGGAGGACUCAUUUUACGCUGGGAAUCAUCGCCGGGUGCCGGUGGAGCUGGUCCAUUGGGCUUGGACUUCUUUUCGAUGCUAUUUUGAAUGGGUAUUACACAUGCAAACAUGUAUACACGACAAUUUUUUUGGGUUCCCAAAUAUAAUUGAAACACAAAA
Molecule: non-coding RNA, 764 nt
Organism: Drosophila suzukii
Lineage: Eukaryota; Metazoa; Arthropoda; Insecta; Diptera; Drosophilidae
Source: RefSeq, a predicted model, not a curated record